GCCAGGCAUGGUGGCAGAUGCCUGUAAUUCUAGUUACUUGGAAGGCUGAGGCAGGAGGAUGGCAAGUUUGAGGCCAGCCUGGACAGCAUAGGCAACACAAUGAAAUACCCUGUCAACAAUAAAAAUAAAUAAUCAAGGGGCUGGAGAUGUAGCUCUGUGGCAGUGUGUGUGCUUACUAUGUUGGAAACUCUAGGUUCAAUCCCUAUUGCUUCCCUCUUCAGCUUCAU
This 227-nucleotide small RNA is filed under the name Marmota monax (woodchuck). Lineage: Eukaryota; Metazoa; Chordata; Mammalia; Rodentia; Sciuridae. The record is from RNAcentral.